This is a long non-coding RNA of Columba livia (rock pigeon), 539 nucleotides long. RefSeq lists it as uncharacterized. The record is from RefSeq and is a predicted model, not a curated record. Lineage: Eukaryota; Metazoa; Chordata; Aves; Columbiformes; Columbidae. The transcript is spliced from 3 exons.
CGUUGCCUGGCGCACGUGGCCGCGCGCGGCUCUCGAGGCUCGCGGGCGCCCUCGCCGCCUCCCCCGCCCUGUGUGGCGAGCGCGUCAGGGGCCGGUUCGGCCCCGCUCCCCGCCUGCGGAAACGAGGUGGGGCAUUUUGGGACCAGCGACCCCCAAGUGAUCCCCAAAGGGACAGCCACUGCCUGAGGCGGCGCUGCCUGUGUGGAGCUGUCACUUCCUACCCGCUACAUCCUUGGCACCAUUGCCACCCACAACUGCGGCGGCAUGUCCACAAUUUCUAUUGUGCUUCCCCGUGCAAACAGGAGCGAGGAGCUGCCGUCUGUUAGUCCUCUGCUUUCGCUUACAUCAACCAGCUCUCGUAACUGCUUGGCACAAAAGCUUCAAGCGGGACAAUGUGCUGGUCUCUUAAAACAGACGCGUUUCUCAGUAAGUGCUGUGCUAGGACUUCACCGCCAACAGCAGCAGAGCGCUGUUCUGUGAUACAGUGGUCUAGAUCUUGAAUGAAGACUGUGAGGCACAAUACCAAGCUUUUCCUCCAG